AACCUCCGCAAUGUGAGAAAUCGCGACGGGGGAUCCCAAGUGCCAUUCUUAACGGGAUGGCUUUUCAUUAGUGUAAAGAGCUUUUGGAAUAAGAGCUGGGCAAGACCGGUGCCAGCCGCCGCGGUAACACCGGCAGCUCUAGUGGUAACAAUUUUUAUUGGGCCUAAAGCGUCCGUAGCCGGUUUAAUAAGUCUCUGGUGAAAUCCUGUAGCUUAACUGUGGGAAUUGCUGGAGAUACUAUUAGACUUGAGACCGGGAGAGGUUAGAGGUACUCCCAGGGUAGAGGUGAAAUUCUGUAAUCCUGGGAGGACCGCCUGUUGCGAAGGCGUCUAACUGGAACGGUUCUGACGGUGAGGGACGAAAGUUAGGGGCGCGAACCGGAUUAGAUACCCGGGUAGUCCUAACUGUAAACGAUGCGGACUUGGUGUUGGGGUAGCUUUGAGCUGCUCAGUGCCGAAGGAAGCUGUUAAGUCCGCCGCCUGGGAAGUACGGUCGCAAGACUGAAACUUAAAGGAAGU
This 518-nucleotide ribosomal RNA is filed under the name uncultured bacterium. RNAcentral's name for it is "bacterial SSU rRNA". It matches the Rfam family "Archaeal small subunit ribosomal RNA", at positions 345 to 866 of the family's 1478-position model. The record is from RNAcentral.